CACCAUCUGGGUUUGAAUCCAGACUCUACCACAUACUGCUGAAUUUGGGCACAAGUUAAAUUCCUUAAUCUCUCUAAGCCUCAGUUUCUCCAUGUGUAAAGGGGGUCUAAUAACAGUACUUCCCGCUUCCCCUACAAAAGGGAUAAUAAGAAGCCUAAACGAGAUCUUGCACGUGAAGACCCCCACACCGUGGAACACGGGGUUCAAUAACGUAUUUGUUAUCUCUUCAGUCAUCCCAACUGAGAAGGAGCAACACUGCUCUCUAUUUACAUGUGAGGUUCAGAGAGGUUAGCCACAUGUCCAAGGUCACACAGCCAGGAAGCAGCUUUCUCCUCCUUCAUGCUCUGUCCUGAGGGCCGUGUGGCUGAUGGCGAAUUUAGCCAAGCUGGCUAAUUGGUGAGACACCAAAGAAAGCAGGAACGCACCUAUGAGUUAGAGUCCAGAGCGACCGGGUCCGUCUACUCUACCGCCGCACACCCCUCCCGCCCGCCUGGCUCGGUCCUGGGGGGACUCACGCGAAAAUCAAAGCCACCGACAACUUCACAACGACUAUGUGCACGCCCGGACACUCAAGAGGAGCGGAAAACUCACACAGAGCAAGGAAGCAACGUUUGUGACGAUUUUACUGGCCCUUCUGCCAUUUCUAGCUUUGCCCCUCCCCCCUCAACACAUCUUAUUCACAAUUUGCAUCGCACAUCAUUAUUUCCUGGGGAUCCAGAGGAAUGCUUUCCUUCUGAGAUCUUUUUCUUUCUUUCUUUCCUUUUUUAUUUUUUCUUUUUGGUUCAAUAUCCAAAGUUUAAAACAGAAGUCAGGAACCAGGAAGCAUAUGCGGACGUCCAGUGUCUGGUUUGUACGCCGUGGACGGUAAAUGUCAGUGACCUCCGGCUGCAAAUGCAGGUGUCCUCUCAGCAUCUGAACAGCGAAGGGAAAUGGAUUGUGCCAAAUAUCCGAGUAAUUGUGUAAGGCCCUCAGAGCUGGGUUUUGGCUUCAGCAAGAUUUCUAUACAAUUUACCACAUUCUUGAACCUCUUUAUAAAGGGGAAAAGAAGGAACCCAAUCCUGUGAUUGUUAAUUUUAAUUAGAGUAGAUAUGUACAUAUAAUACUGUCCAGGUCACCUGGAUUUUACAGUGAUAUAUAAACAAACAUUCUUCAUUCACGUUGAUUAAAAAAGAAAAACAUAUCAAUGGACCCAUUUCCUCGUGUAAAUAUCAUGGCCGGAAGUGAGCGCACAUGCGUUUUGUGCUUUGACCCACACAAAAAUACACCGUUAUCCAUUGAGAAAAAUCUUGGGCGGGGUCUAGUUCCCGGAUGAGGGGACAUCUUGCUAAAAAAGGUUGGAUUCCGUUGGGCCUCUGCACUCUGCUUUUGGAAUCAAAAUGCAAAGCCACGUGCUUCCGUGGCAAAUCCAUGGGCAAAGACAACAAGUGGGCAUGGUUGGCACGGUGGGCGGGUCUGGUCUUGACAGAGCAGGAGGAACACUGUGGCCCUCAGGAAAGUGUCCUCUGAGACGGUGUGAUCAUUAAAGAAAAGGUAUCCUAAAAUGGUCAGAUCAUGCAGUUUUCUUCUGGAGGCAGUUCAGUGCAUCUGAGCGAGGAGCUCGGGUGCAGACGUGGGGCAGAGUGGGGAGUCCUGAAGUUACCCAACGGCGAGGAGCACCGGGGUCUUCUCCAUUCUCCAUUCCGAGUCUCGGACCCUCGUCAUCAUCCCACCUGCUCUGUCCUGCUUCACGGGAUGAAGAGACGUCUCCAGAACCUUCCAGGCUAGACUGUCCCUUUAAUAUGAGCCACCAAUGC
Molecule: long non-coding RNA, 1793 nt
Filed under: Equus asinus (donkey)
Lineage: Eukaryota; Metazoa; Chordata; Mammalia; Perissodactyla; Equidae
Description: lncRNA (ENSEASG00005027794.1)
Source: RNAcentral